AGCAUUGCUGACCUCUCUGGGUUUCAGGACCUGCUCAAGACCCAGGCUGUAGUCACAGUCAGGUUUAUGCAGACUCAAAACACUUGUUUGUCUUUCUGCAGAAACUGAGGCCAAACUCCGGCAGAUCUAAUUGACCUCUCAGACAGAUAGUUAGUAAAGAUGAGGACUAUUUUUUCUUCCCCCUAGUUUUUGUGCCACGUGCCAUGCUGAUCAAACAAUACUGUUGCCUGACUCUGGGAACUCCAGAGUUACACCACAGCCUAAGCAGCUCUCUCUUCCCCAGUUCUCAUACAACUCAUUAUGUGAAUAGAACUUAAGUGAUGCUUGGCAGAGAUGGAAACUGCAUAGAAAACACCCACGUCCCAGUCCAAAAGAUACGUUUGCUUUACCAGGAACACUGGAUGCUGAAUAGCCAUGUGUGCAAAUACUCUGUCUUAACGAACCUGACUCCAAAUUCUUCCAAUGACCUCCUCAUGCUCCCUCAUCUGCCCUGAUCUCUGAUGUCGCAGGGACUUCUUCAGUGCCUUCCACACUUGCCAAUAAAUGAAAUGGAGCAGCACGGCACAAAGCCUGUGAGCCCUCCACCAAGAAUUUAAGCAGUCUGGUGGUCUGCAGCAGAGGAAGCCAUCUGCUCUUAACUUCAUUUCCAGUGGCCAAAGGACACCUUGUGGAGAACUGCUGAUGUUCCUUGUAAUGUCGUAAAGAAGGUGAACAAAGCACUUCUUCCUGGGCUUCACCACUGUCUUCUUCCAAAGGCUCAGCACUGCAUUUUCUGCAGCGCUCACCUCAUGCCUACUGAUGCAGACAAAGACUUGACCGGCAGCACGACUGAACAGAGAUCACAAGAUCCUUCCUGUGAUUCAUUGAUCUUGAUGAACCUCAACCUGACUGAUGUCCUCAUAAGGAGAGGUGCAGGAAAUAAAAUCCCAACAGAGACAAGUUACUGACCACUCACACCGACUGGACAAAUUACCUAUAGAUGAGUUACUGACCACUCACACUGACUGGACAAAUUACCUAUGAGCAUCUUCAAUACAACAAGCAAAUGUUUGAACUUCUCCACUUAAACAGACUUUUGAGGAUGAACUCAAGGAAAUUGGAAAUACUCCUAAAACAUGACGUGUGCCUUGGAUUAGCUGUUUUCCAAGUGGUGCAUGUGACAACAAGCAUUUGGUGUCCCAGGGUACAUACGUUGUCCUGCUGAUGGCGAAAGGAUCUCAAGCUCGAUCUGCUUUUUAUCAGCAUGCCAACUGAUGAUUUUUCCCUCCUUCAUAAAGCAACAAAGAAAGAAUCAGCCAGUUUUGGGUUCUAGUUUUUUGUUUUACUGCUGCACCAGGAAUAGCUUGUGGAGUCAACUGGAUGAGAGGAAAAACACUGCACAACCUCAAAAUAUUUAAGUCUUACCUCACCUAUAAUAGUUUAGUGAGUGAAUUACAGGAGGAAAGAAACCAGUACCUUAUAGUCUGAAACUUCAGGACAGUAAUUUUCAGUUAGUUCCAAGCGCUGUUGAAAGAAACACAAGUAAUAAAUUACAACUUUUCCAGAUCCCUGAUGAUGCCACCUGUACCCAGAGAGUGUUUCUUCAGCAAGAGGAAAGUGCAAAAAUCAGGUUUCGCACUCCUGGAUCCUGAUGCCAGUCACAGGCCCAGACAGUCUUCCAGGAUUUACAGUUCCAAAGGAUUUAGUUCAGGUCAGGCUGUGAGAGGAGAUCAGGGAGAUGGAUCCCAGUCUCCUCAACCACACAGUGAUUUAUUUCAUUUCCAUUUACUUUUUUAUUUUGCAGAAAACUAUUUGUACGGUAAAAUUUGCAAUAACAUUAUAGAAACACUACAGAGAAAUGGCAUAGAGGUAUCUUUCCUUUUUAUAGCACCUAAUUUUAAUGCUGACUUUCCUUGAAACUUUUAAAAAUGAACAAAUAAGUAGGAUGAAGACUCCUUCCCAACUCUUAUACUUCUAGGGUAACAGCCCAGAACAAUGCAAGAUGAAAUUCUUCAGUGUAAGCUUUUUGAUGUCAGGACUAUGUGAUCUGUAUCAUGUCCUGCAAAACUUACCAUGGCCCAAAUGAAACCAUUUUAGCCCACUAACGUUGAGUAUUUCACAAGUUCCUUACCUUAAAGGCAAUUCUUUGUCCCACUUGUGGUGGAGCAGCUAGAAGAGGUAACACACUAUAGUCUCUCUUGGGGACCUCUACGGGAUUCUGUGGAACGAACAGUAAAUCCACUGAUUUAAUUACUGCACUAAUAAACUGGAAGGCAAAGUAAGGAUUGUAAGAUGUUCUGAGAAGAAUUACGGUACAUAUCUGAGUACUUUGCUUUGACAGACAUAAUACAAUCACUUAAAUAUUGUUUCAUAAACACUUCCUCAGGCUGCUGAAUGAAGAUACAGUAAAUAUCAGGUUUACUGAGUUAA
Molecule: long non-coding RNA, 2409 nt
Organism: Pezoporus flaviventris
Lineage: Eukaryota; Metazoa; Chordata; Aves; Psittaciformes; Psittacidae
Exons: 7
Source: RefSeq, a predicted model, not a curated record